GUAGGGAAUAUUGGGCAAUGGAGGCAACUCUGACCCAGCCAUGCCGCGUGUGUGAAGAAGGUCUUCGGAUUGUAAAGCACUUUAAGUUGGGAGGAAGGGCAGUAAGUUAAUACCUUGCUGUUUUGACGUUACCGACAGAAUAAGCACCGGCUAACUUCGUGCCAGCAGCCGCGGUAAUACGAAGGGUGCAAGCGUUAAUCGGAAUUACUGGGCGUAAAGCGCGCGUAGGUGGUUUUGUAAGUUGGAGGUGAAAUCCCCGGGCUCAACCUGAGAACUGCCUCCAAAACUGCAUGACUAGAGUACGGUAGAGGGUAGUGGAAUUUCCUGUGUAGCGGUGAAAUGCGUAGAUAUAGGAAGGAACACCAGUGGCGAAGGCGACUACCUGGACUGAUACUGACACUAAGGUGCGAAAGCGUGGGGAGCAAACAGGAUUAGAAACCCCAGUAGUCC
This 450-nucleotide ribosomal RNA is filed under the name uncultured bacterium. RNAcentral's name for it is "partial 16S ribosomal RNA". It matches the Rfam family "Bacterial small subunit ribosomal RNA", at positions 354 to 796 of the family's 1533-position model. The record is from RNAcentral.